Molecule: ribosomal RNA, 1704 nt
Filed under: Triticum aestivum (bread wheat)
Lineage: Eukaryota; Viridiplantae; Streptophyta; Magnoliopsida; Poales; Poaceae
Description: partial small subunit ribosomal RNA
Source: RNAcentral
AUGAGUGAUCCAUGUGAAUGCUGCCAGAUCAAGCUUAAGUUUCUAAGGCAGAUCAAUGGCAACUUCAUGCACAGCCUGGUCAUACCGGAGUGGUUUGUGAACCAAUUUGGAGGAAAGAUCUGGAGAACUGUCAAACUAGAGUCCCCUAAUGGUAACGUCUAUGAUGUUGGAGUUACCGAGAAUAUGAACCGAACAAUUUUGAAGUCUGGAUGGGCAUCAUUUGUUGAUGCCAAUAAAAUAGAAGAAAAUUAUUCACUGAUGUUUCGUUACCUUGGAAACACCCGCUUCAAGGUUACAAUAUUCGAUUCCAGUGGUAAGCAGAAAGCGUCGUGCUGUGCUAGGAUGGGAACUGCUGCUUCUGAUGUUAGGAACCCAAGCACAUUUGAUGUUGAUAAUUCUAGUAGUUCUUGUGGUGGUACUACUCAGUCUUCACCAAGUGAAAGAUCAGAUUCAGAUGGAAGCCAAAAGGAAAGCUCGUACGGUUAUAAAAAAUCAGCAAAGAAGGCUGCAAUAUCAGAUUCUUCUGAGGAAUUAUCAGCUGAAGACAGUCUAUCUAGAGACAAUUUGGUGGAGUCAUAUGAUGUACAGGUGCAUUUGAAUGACUAUGUCUUAUCAGGGAAAUGUGAUCUUACAGUAGCACAGGAGGCAAAAAUACAAGCACUUGUAGAGAAAAUUCGAUCUGAAAUCCCGGUGCUUGUUGUACAGAUGAAGAAGACCAGCGCAAACUUUGGUAAUCUGAUAAUACGUAAGGACUACGCACUCAAGUACUUCCCAUGUGAAGCUACAAAUAUCAUACUUCAGCUGCCUAGGAAGAACAAGGAAUGGAAGUGCAGAUUUAAUCCAGGUCGGCGCAACCUUUAUUUGGGCUACUUUGUCCAUGACAACUGUGUUCAAGAGGGAGAUAUCUGCCUCUUUCAGCCAAUAGCAAAGGUUAAGGAAGGAAGAUUUACCAUAAUUGUCCAUCUUCUUCACAAAGAGAGCGUUCGUCGUUCCCCUGGCGGAACAGCAGGGAUGACACACACGGCUACCGACAGAAGAACAAGCGCAAAGACGUCCUUAACAGCCCGUGUUAAGAAGACGUCCUUAACAGCCCAUGUUAAGGAGGAACCAGCCACCGAUGGCGAACAUAAGACUACUGACAGAAGGACAGGCGCAAAGACGACGUUAACAUCCCGUGUUAAGGAGGAACCAGCUACCGAUGGUGAAGAUACUUCAUCUUUGAGACCUGAAGAGGAUGGAGACAAUUCUGAGGGAGCUUCUGAGACCCCCUUCGUACUGCCAGAAAGAGCCUCUAUAACGCCAGCACAGGAGCAGAAAGUGCGGGAGAAAGUAGAAGCCUUUGAGUCGACAGUACCAGUUUACGUCGCGAUCCUGAACAAGUGCAAUGUUGCUCGGAAAUCCGGCAUGAUAAUAACCAUGGGCAAGCAGUACGCGUUAAGAUAUCUCCAAAAACAGUACUUUACCGGGCAUCGUGGAAAGAAGAAUGUGAUCAGUCUGGUGCUUCAGCGGGAGGGGAAGAGUAGGAUGUGGGACACGGAGCUGCGACGCGGGAUUGAUCGUAUGAUGAUCUGUAAAGGAUGGGUUGCUUUCGCCCGUGGCAACCACCUGCAGGUGGGUGACCUCUGCCUCUUCAAGCUGAUGGAGAGCGAGGAGCCGCUGAAGAUGAUGGUUUACAUCAUUCGCCGUGAGAAGUGCUUAGAUUGA